This 16373-nucleotide long non-coding RNA is filed under the name Populus tremula. RNAcentral describes it as "long non-coding RNA (PTRE_LNC000833)". Lineage: Eukaryota; Viridiplantae; Streptophyta; Magnoliopsida; Malpighiales; Salicaceae. The record is from RNAcentral.
AAAAAAAUACAACUCAUAAUUUCUAAAUCAAGUUAAUAUUUACAGAUAAAAUUGAAAGUAUUAAAUUAUAUUAUGAUUAACCAGAAAGGAUUAUAAGAUAAAAGUAGUUGAAAUGCGUGGCUAUAUUCCAUUUAAAACAAUUGUGACUAAACUUGGUUAUGCGUGGCAAAAUGGUGACCAAAUACGCUACCAGAUCCUGAAAUGUUUGGGAGAGAGAGAGAGAGAGUCCCAUCAGCAUUUAUUACAGAAUCUGUACAGUAUAUGGAGACCUCAAGGGCACAAUACAUUUUCCUGGCCUCUUGGGAUUCCCAUGGACGUCUGCGACAGCUACCAUAAUAAAAUUUUCCUUUUUGGAGGUGGAUUUUUUUUAAAAGAAAAAAUUAGCAUUAUUCAUCUAAAAAUUUAGCAAAACAACAUAGAUUUAAAAAUAGUACAGUUUAUAUAUAUAUAUACACAUACACAUACAUACAUAUAUAUUAUAAUUUCUAAACACGACAUUUAAGUAUAUUAUUAUAACAAAAUUUGACAUUUAAGAAUGCUACAAUUGAGAAACAUAAUAAUUCCAGAUGUAGAACAUGUCAUUUAGUAGGAGAAUAAAUAUUUCAACUAAUUUUGAGCAGUAUAGUUUGUGUGUGUGUGUAUAUAUUAUAAUUUCCAAACAUGACAUUUAAGUAUAUUAUUAUACAAAAACAUGACAUUUAAGCAAGCUAUGAUUGAAAAACAUGAUAAUUCAACAUGUAGUAUUUUUAAAUUGUGAUUUUUUAUAAAAUAAAACCAUGCAUCUCCUCUUCUCUGAAUAUAAUGGGGCUGCUCCUCUCAUUAAAAAAUCCAAUUUUUUAAUAAAACAUGCUAAAAAGGACAUGUCAGUUGAUAAGAGAAUAAAUAUUUCAAUUUAUUUUGAAAAAUAUAAUUUAUUCAAGUUAUAAAUUUGCUUUUAAAAAAUUAUUAGUUUAAAUAUUAUAAAUUUAAAAAUUAUUAAUUUCAAAACUCACAAAAUUACUCAAAGUAAAUAUAAACUGGCCAACUACAUGUUAAUAAAAAAAAAAUCAGCUAUGUAAACUCUUUGAACAAUAUAGGCAUAUUUUAGACGUUAAUAACGAGAAAAAAUAUUUUAAAUUCAUUCAAUCUGGUUCACGACUUGUAAAUAUAGAGGGAGGUUUUCUGAAACGUGUCGCCUAAUCCCACCAUUGAAAAAAGCAUUUAUUUGUCAACUAAAAAGACAGGAAUAAUGAAAAAAAACACCGUUCCCACCUCACUCUCUUUACCUCUAGUCUUUGCAUGCACUCGUUUCUCGACCAGUGGGUGGCGGUGGGUCACAUGCCGGUCACACAGCCAUUAAUGAUAAUUAUGAUAUGGUCCAACGUCGAACAACGGAGGAGAUAAAUAUUGAUUUUUAAAGUGUUUUUUAUUUAAAAAUAUAUUAAAAUAAUAUUUUUUAAAAUUUUUAUGUAUUAAAAUAAUUUAAAAAUAUUAAAAAAAUAAUAUGAAUUGAAAAUAAUUUUUAAAUUUUAAUGAAUGAAUCUAAGAAAAGAAACAAAAAAAACACAAGUAGGCUUGCGCUGACCAUUUGUCAUAAAAGUCACUUGCUUGCCAGCCAGUUCUUAAGGGAGAUAGAACUUUAGAGAAGAUUAGUCUGUUGGCAUCAAGAUAGAAACCUCUCUUCUGCUAGCUGAAUCUCCUUGGCCUUACACUUGCUUUUCUCUCUUCCUUGUAACUCAUCGUCCUCUUCCCUUCUUUCAAAUAUAUACAUAUACAGGUACUUUUGUAAGUUUUUUUUUUAAUGGUAUAUACCUCAUCUCUCUCUCUCUCUCUACACACGUAGGUACUCGAAAUCUUCUUUUAUUGAAUAUCAUACGUUUAUACUCCAUCUUUUCUUUCGUUUUUCAACAAAUUAUAUACAGUUUGAUAAAAAAAAAUGAAGGGAAUGCAAAAUUUCAAGGUUCACUUUCUCUUCAUUUCCUUACAAGAAUUUGUAUAUUUCAGGAUAUCGGUGUUAGAUCACCAAACUCUUAAGUUCUGUGGGUUAUAUAUCAUGCAAAAGAUGCACCUUUUUUCUUCUUCUUCUUUUUUUUGCAGCCAUAAAAUGUUUUCUUUUUCGAUUUUAUGAUAAUGUCAAUCUAUUGGUGCAUCAGAAUAUGUUCAUAUGGAUUUGCUGAAGAUAUUCCUUGUUGACUUUGCAUUUGGCAAAAGUAAUUGGUAGGAAAUGACGAGGAAGUUAUCGCGUUGAACUUUAUUAUGAAUAAUAGCCUUUAUUUUUCUUUUGUUUAGAGCAAGUUCUCUCUUCGAUCAUGCCACACUAGUAACAAGUAAACAGCUCGUGUUGGCCUACUUCUAUGAUUGCAUUAUAGAUUCUCUUGUCUUUUCUUCGAGUAUUUUCUCCUUGCCUUUUUGUUUGCUCUUUAACCAAGAAUCUUUAGCAGGUGUUGUCUCGCAAUGGAAUCUUCUCUUUUCAAUAAUUGUGCUCUGAAUUAUACAGGUUGUCUCUCUAGGAGUUGAACCUCAUUCUCUAUUCAUUGAUAGCUAAAGUUUUGGGGGUUAGUACAGGCUUGCGGGGGAAAUGGAGGGGGGGAUCAACGAAAAGCUUUUGAGAAAAGGAGGAGAGGUAGACGCUGAGGAAUUGAGGUUCAAGGACAAGUUAUGGACUGAGACCAAGAAGAUGUGGGUUGUUGCUGGUCCUGCUAUUUUCACCAGAUUCUCUACUUUCGGGAUCAAUGUAGUCAGUCAAGCAUUUAUUGGGCAUAUCGGCUCCACAGAACUAGCUGCAUACUCGCUUGUGUUCACUGUGCUUUUGAGGUUCUCCAAUGGGAUCCUGGAAAGUAGUUUGACUCAUUUCAUUUUGUGUUUCUAUUCUUUGUUGGUACUUGUUUCUUGUAUGGCAUCCUUUAAAGAUUGAUUCUCAGAUGUUGUGAGUCCUUAUGAUGACUCUAAUGUAGUGAAGCAGUUAGUGUUGGCAUCACCAUAGCACAUCCCUUUAGUUUCUUGAACGAAGUUCAUGUUCAAUGCUUAGAUGCAGACUUCUACCCUAUGGUUCGCCUGUAGUUCUUAAGUUUAAAUUUCGGAUAGGUGCAUGGCUGAAUGGGGAGGGGAAAACUCUCUCUUGCUCUACAGCUGAAGGUGAAAAUUUGCUUUAAAGGCCAUUAAAAAGUGGGAAAUGAAAUUUGAUGUUUAAUGCCUGCAGUAUGUGACAUAUAAUCUGGAAACUUGAAGACAGGAAAAUAUGUACAGGAAUGGUGUUAUUUUUCUCAAGUUUUGAAAGUACUCCCAUUUUAAGUGCUAGAAGACACGCAAUUGGUUGUAUGGCUACCUUCCUUUAUUAUAAAUGUGUCGUUUGAAUUUGCAGCUUGGCAUGGCUAGUGCGUUGGAAACUCUCUGCGGGCAAGCCUUUGGUGCAAAGCAAUAUCACAUGCUUGGAGUUUAUCUCCAAAGAUCAUGGAUAGUUUUAAUAUUAUCAGCUGUGCUACUUCUUCCUCUAUUUUUCUUUACAUCUUCAAUUUUGAAGGCCCUGGGUCAGGAGGAUUAUAUUGCGGAAGUGGCUGGAAAUAUCUCCCUGUGGUUAAUCCCUGUGAUGUUUUCCUUCAUUCCGUCCUUCACCUGCCAAAUGUUCCUACAAGCGCAGAGCAAGAACAUGAUUAUUGCAUACUUGGCAGCACUUACAUUAGUAAUCCACGUCUUCCUUUCAUGGCUAUUAAUUGUCAAAUACAAGUUUGGCAUCCCGGGAGCAAUGAUGUCGACAAUUUUGGCAUAUUGGAUACCGAAUAUUGGUCAGCUUAUGUUUGUUACCGGUGGAGGUUGCCGUGAGACAUGGAAAGGAUUCUCGACCUUAGCUUUCAAAGAUCUCUGGCCUGUCAUCAAGCUUUCUUUGUCAUCUGGUGUUAUGCUCUGGUAAGGCUUUUUAUCACCCUCUGAUUUUGUUCGAACCAUGAAUUACCUAGAAUUUGGAAUGGAUACAUCACAGCUUAAUAUGCUGGAGUAUUCAGUUUACCAUUCCGGAUUGUGGCAUGCUUUAAAUUACACCUGUUAAAACAUGAGGAUGCCACUAUGAAGAUGAGUGAAUUAAGGAAAAAUGCAUUGUUCCACUUUUUCCUACACAUGUUCAUCUUUCACCUUCUAUCACCACACAUAGCACCGGUUUCUCUGUUUUUCAGAAUCGAUUCUCUGUUUUUCAGAGUCGAAAUAUGGUUUACUUUCAACACCGUAUUGGUUGGUCAAUUUAGUAAUGAAAUCACUACGUAGCUGCUAUAUGGGGUCGUAAAAGAAACUCAAUAUGGGAUCGGCAUGCUUGUGCUAUUGUUAUGAGCCCAGUGACCAAAUAUUAGAACUAUUUGUGAGUGCUUGAGUUCUUUUAUGAUAUAGUUCAAAGAACUAUAUAGUUCUUUUAUGAAUUAACAUUCAUUUGGCAUCGAAAUGGUAAUUGUAUUUACCAGGAGUACCAAUUUAGGUAUAAUAGAAGUAUAACUUUGACACCUUAAGUAGCUGGAAUCGACAGGAUUAAUCGGUUUCAACAGUUUUGGAGCUAUGGGACGUUGUUAAGUUUUUAACUAAGGCCUGCAUAUUUUUUAGUUUAUCUUUGAUGUAGGCAUAGAUUAGAGUUUUUUUUUUUUUUGAAUAAGAAAGGGGAGUCAAAAAUGUUGAACUUUUAACAACUGUUCUGUUGGGUCGAUUUCUUCACUUGUGAUGUCCACAACAUAUUCACCUGGAGGCUGAGUUAAAUUCAUGGUACAUUACAGCCUCGAGCUCUGGUACAACACAGUGCUGGUUCUUUUAACAGGAAACUUGAAAAAUGCAGAGGUUGCUAUCGACGCUCUUUCUAUCUGGUAAUCAUUCCUUGGCAAAUGUUUUUAUUUUCCUAUACUUUAUUCUUCUUUAUUAGGAAAAAGUUCUUUAAAGAUGUUCCUGUUUGCAGCCUCAACAUCAAUGGAUGGGAGAUGAUGAUAUCUCUCGGUUUCUUGGCUGCUGCAAGGUGUAUUAUCAUCUCAAUCAUGGGCAUUAUCUUCUUAUGGAAUUCAUAUUUAUGGCGAUAAAAUCAGUCAACCACAUAAAAAAGAAGAAGAAGCAGAGAUGCUUAGAAUAUGUACGUGUGAGUGUGUACCUUUCAGACAGCUGAUUUGAUUCUUGUUUCAUGUUUUUGUUGGAAACUCCAGUGUUCGAGUGUCAAAUGAACUUGGGAGAGGGAGCUCAAAAGCUGCAAAGUUCUCGAUCGUGGUGACAGUUCUUACAUCAUUUUCAAUCGGCCUUCUACUGUUUUUGGUAUUCUUAUUCGCCAGAGGAUCUCUUGCUUACGUCUUUACUACAAGUCAUGAGGUGGCCAGUGCUGUCGCAAAUCUCUCACCGCUACUGGCUUUCUCCAUACUUUUGAACAGUGUACAACCAGUGCUCUCCGGUAACUUACCAAGUUCUUAAUAACAUAUAUAUACCGUAACUGAUGUUGUAACCCCGCGAAAGGAUCUUAACAACAUCUGCAUUUAUUAAUACACUAUCCACUUAUUCUCUUCAACAGGAGUUGCUGUUGGGGCUGGGUGGCAGAGCAUUGUAGCGUACAUUAAUAUAGCGUGCUACUACUUGGUCGGAAUUCCUAUUGGAGUUGUGCUUGGUUAUGUCAUGGAUCUGCAAGUCAAAGUGAGUCAUUCUCAUCGCUUCUUCCUUUCUUUCAUGAUAUAGUUCAAAGUCUCUGCAACCUUACACAGGAUAAUGGGAAAGAAUCAUAUAGAAAGUGUAAUUCUUUAGCACGCUUUCACAUGAUUGAUUCUGCAGCCCACCUACUGCUUCAUCGCUAGCUAUUUCCUUUGUUUUGCUUUCUCAGAAAACUUGUUUUGUAGGGUGUUUGGAUUGGGAUGUUGAUUGGGACAUUUAUUCAAACUGUUGUUCUGCUUAUAGUCACCUACAGAACUGACUGGGAAAAACAGGUAUUUUGGUUUUGCCUUCAGCUUUCUUUCUAUACUCUCACUUCAACCCAGAAACUCAAGUGUGUUUAUACAAAAACAAAUGCAUCUGCAGGUAAUUGUUGCUCAUAACAAGAUCAACAAGUGGUUUGUAGCUGAUCCUGAAGAAACAAGCACCCAAGUUGCAUGAAGUUGGCUGUCCUUGAUUUAUGUUGUAUACUUGUUUUUUUGACAAAGCAUCAAUCGGUGCCCAUAUUCUGAACUAGGUAAUUGUGAUUUUUGAAGGCCAAUUUUAGAUCUUCAGAAUUUAAAGAUGCUGAAGCUCCAAAGUUGUUUCCUGAGCCAUUGAUUCAGAUGCUCUGGUCACCAGAGUCUGGUGUUCUAAUUAAUUACCUGCAAUGAGAAGUUUUUUCUUGUAAUACGAUAAUAUCCUGUUUGUUUUUUAUUUUAAAAAGUUAAAUUUUUUUAAAAAAGAUUUUUUAAAAAAUUUAUUUUUUUAUAUUUUUAAAUUAUUUUGAUACGUUAAAAAUAAUUUUUAAAAAACAAAAAAAUAUAUUAUUUUAACAUAUUUUUAAAUAAAAAAUAUCACUAAAAUUCAACCAAAUAUUUGUAACUGUUGACAGAAACACAACCGAAAACAGCACUUCAAAGCAUGAUGUGGUAAAUAAGAUGACUUCGAAAGCAAGUUUUGUAGCGUCGAUGUUCAUCUGAAACACAGAAUCUGGAAAAUGCAGUCCAAAAGCAGCAUGUUAAUUGUGUAUGUGUUUAUCUUUUUUUAAUAGAGAAAUGAAAGGACGGGAGGCCCAAGGAACAAAGACACCGAUUGAUUAAUGUUUUUUAAAAAUUCAUGAAGUCUAAUUUUUUUAAAAUCAAAUAUUAAAUAAUUAAAUUAAAGAAAAAAAUGGUUAGUAAAAACAAAAAUAAAAAAAAUAAAAACCAAAAUUUACACAAAAAACUAACAAUCCCUUUUGGUUUUUAAAGUGUUCAAAGUAUAGAGAGAAAAAAAAGGGAAUAAACGAAAUAAAAGAAGAAUUUUUAACCAUAGCCAAAUAGAAAAUGCACCAACUACAAGCCCCACAAGUGAAUGGUUGCAUGACGAGAAUGAAAAAGGUUGCAUAUGUAAGAACGUCAAAUGUUUAUAUUUAAUUAAUUAAUUUAAUUUAAUUUAAAAAUAAAAUCUUUUUAAAAAGCAUUAAGUUUAAUAAAGUACAAUAAAUAUAAAGAUCCAAGAUAACCCGAGUUAUUUUGAAAAUUAAUAAAAAAAAUUCUAUAAAAAGAAAAUAAAAAUAAAAUAGCUUAAUCUUCAAUUAAAUAAAUGUUGAAUGAUGAAUUGUAAAAACAUGAGCUUCGAAAAAGGAAAAGAAAAAGAGCAAACCUGGGUAAAUGUCCUAAAACUGAGUUAAAUUCCCAAACAUGUAACUUGUGAAAUGCUAGAUUUAGACACAAAUAAGAAGUGCAAUUCUCAACCAAUUUAAUUUUGAAUGAGAAAAUUGAUAAAAACAUCAAUUUAAAAAAUUUGUCAAAGUAAAGAAAAUAACAAUAAAAAGAGUGAUGAUCAAAUUUGAUAGAAAGAAAAUAAAGGAGGAUGAAUUUUUUUUUAAAAUUCAAAUUUAAGAAUUAUUUCAAAUAAAAUAAUUAACAAUAAAAAGUAAGUACCAUAUUUGACAGAUAAAAAAAAUAGAACAAGGAUGAAAUUGAAAUAAAAUUUCAAAUUUAUAAAUUCUUUCACAUAAAAAAUUAUAACAAAAAGAAUGGGGACUAAAUCAGAAGAAAAAAUAAAUUGAAGGGCUGCCCUAAAACGUGUAGAGUCAAAUGUGAAAAUUGAGGAUGAGAGAAAAAAGAAAGAAAAACAAUGUCGUUCAUGCCAAACUAGAGGUCUGUUGAUCGCAUGUGUUGCUACCCAAUUUUUUGAUCCAUGUUUUUGAGAUAUUUUCAAAAAAAAUCCAAAAAUAGAGAAAAAACAAUGAAAAGCCAAAAAAAAUAUGUUUUUUAAUAUAUUCUCAUCAUUUUAGCAUUUUUCAACGUCGUCUAAAAAACAAAAAAAAACAAAAAAAGAAUUAAAAUUUUUAAAAUAUUUUCAAACGCGUUCAACUUUUCACGCGUUAUUUUUAAAAUCAUUGAUUUUCCUCGUUGAGUCGACGUUGAUAUUGCUCGUUUUCAAAAAUAUACAAAAAAAUAAGAAAAAUCAAAAUUUACAAAAAGAAAGAAGUUGAGGGACCAAGUUGAAAAACUUGGCAACAUUUUUGCCUAUAAAUACUGGUCUUUAACUCACACAAUGGGGGGGGCAAUUUUGAAAUAUAAAAAAAAAUAUAAAAAAACAACCUAACCCUAAACCUAUCUCUACCAAGCCUGCCGCCCCCCUCCCUUUGAAUUUUGUUUCCCGAGCCUUCUUCUCCUGAAGCCAAAACACAGCCGCCCUCACCUUUUUGCAUUUUUGAACACCGGCCAAACAGCCCCCCCCCAAACCCCCCGGUUUGAUUUUUCUUCCUUUCUCCCUUACACAGCGCCGUCCUUCAGCCCCCAUUUUUCAGACCAUCCCCAUCUUCAGCUUUAGCUGCUCAAGCCCGCUUCUCGGUUUCAAUUUUUCAGACCCAAACCAGCCGGCCAAGACAGCUCCUCUCCCACUCACGGCGGUUCCUCCAACACCAGACGAGCUUGCCUCCGUCAGCUGCAGCGACGCCCACAUCGUUGUUCCUUUCCCCCAUCUCCGCUGUCAUCUUCCAGCACCGGCGUCCACCUCCCUCAACAGCCAACGGAGAAUCAACCACAGCCUCACAACGACAGCUUCUCCCUGCAGGCCCGCGAUCUUCAUCGUCGGCCGAUAGCCAAGACAUAACCAUCCCCUUCGUCAUCUCCUCCGAUCGACAGCAGACCCAGCUCACUGCCUCCAGCAACGCCGUUCCUCGCCGGAGACAGAGAGGAGAGGGAAGCAGACCCGAAACGAUGAAGAGAGAACAAAAACAAAUCUGAAAAACUAAGAAAAAAGUUAAAAUCGACUGCUGUGUUGUUCCCUUUUUUUGUUCUGCAGGUCAUCGCCGGCGUUGGGAGGCUGAGAAGAAGCCGAUCCCCCCUGUUGCUGUGUUUUCUCGUGGAGGCGCGUGAACCCACGCGCCGCCAGUGGCGGGGGCGCGUGGGAAGACGCGCUGCCAGUGGCGGGGGCGCGUGGGAAGACGCGCCGCCACUGAUUUUCUGCCCCAGCAGCCUUCCCGAGCACUGUUCCUGCGGUUCUAAAUGGACUUCCCUGCACUUCUUGGACUAUUUAGGGACUGUUUAGUAAUUUUAGACUUGUUUAAUGUAUUUUUUUGUUUAAUGUAAUUUUUGUUUAUUUUUGAGUUUUUUUUGUAAUUUGUAUUUUGUAAAGAUGGAUGUAAAAGAAAAAAAAGAAAAAAGAAAAGAAAAGAAACAAAAAUAAAAUAGUGAAAUGUAUGUGUGUGCUUGUAUUUUGUUUUAUUUAUUUGUACAUAUUUUUUUAAUGAUAAAAUUGCAAAUAUAUUAAAGAAGAAUUUAAUAUUUUGAUCGGAUCACGGUUAAGAAUUAUUAACUUAUACGUAAGUGAUAUUUCUAAUUUCCGAGAAAAGACAAUUAUUAAAACUUCUUUAACACGUCAAAGCCACGAAGCAGCUUACCUCAGGUAGGGUGCGUUAGGGGUGCUAAUACCUUCCCUAACCACAACCAGUCCCUUACCCGCGAAUCUCUGACAAGACCAGUACAUCAGGUUUCCUAGUAGCCCUCAAUCAAUUACUAGGUGGCGACUCCAACGAACCAAUUCAAGCAAACGUAACAAACGAGAUUUAAAUCGCCAGCCGAUGCCGCGCGCUGAUUUUUUUGGGGUGCGACAGAAUGGCGACUCCACUGGGGAAGGUACUGUUUCUGACAUUAUUGGACUAAGCUUUGUGUAUUUGAUGUGUUUAAGUUUUUGCAUUUUUAUCUUUUUGUUAAUAUUUAUUUCCAUGCAUUUUAUAGAAUUGUCUCAUGCAUCACCUGUAUUUAUUUUUGAAAGCACACACAAGCUUCUAGGUUAGGUGGGGAACUAGCGAUCUGCCCUAAGACUAUUGGUCAGGGUUCAGAUGCGUGAAACACCCAACUCAUAUCUGAGUGCCUGCUUGGUAAUGGUGGGUAUACGUGCCUUAACCAUUCCUUGCAACGCCCCAUACUGUCUUUACGAAGAACGUCACUGGGCAGAUAUGAGACCCUUUUGAGACCAGAUAGAAAACCUACCCAUGUUCACAUAAUGAAUAGAACCUGUCCUUAGGUUGUAUGUGCUAUCGUUUUUUGCAUAAGGGCAAACCCUUCUUGAAGCAUCUUGAACUCAAGACUUGUGGGUGACACAUUGGCCGUUGCUCCGAAAAUUUUCAUUGUAGAGUUUGGGCAAAAAUCACGAUUCUUGUCCAUCAUACAAGAGUUACGACCAUAUUGUCACCUCUCGAAGGGUGAGUUCAUCAUAUAGAUUACAUGUUCAUACAUUUAUCAUGCAUGUACCGGGCUGAAAGGUAGGUCCCCCACACAAGCUGUGCUGCACGUGAUUGGAGAAAAAUGAUGGAGGUGAAGAAAGGUGUCAGAUAGAGGCUCAUUAUCAGAUUAAGGUUGAGAGCAUUAAAUGUGAAGUAGCUAGACUCAGAUCUGCUCGAACAAGUGUUGACAUCAAAUGGAAAGAGAAUAUCUGCACAGUCUUCUGUGGGAACACUGCUUGUUCACAUCUAAUUGAAGCUGUAUCUCUCCUUUUCGUCAUGAACAACAACAACAACAACGCCUUCAGUCAUCAACUAAUGACAACUCUGGUUCUUAUCCAGUUGCAUUGUUAAAUGUUCAUCGCCUCCACAUCAUCUAAUGGAACCAAACAACUACCAGUCUCCUGUACAUGGUGCAUUAAUCUGCUUUGAAGUUACCCCGAUUACGAGCUCAAUUCCAGUUCAGCAGCACAAGAUGGUCUGAAAAACCAUGAUUGAACACUGAACUUCAAUGUGGCAGAGCUCUCUCUACAAAAAUCAAUUUAUGGCUCUGCAAAUUGGGAAGGCAAGAGGGGAUUUAUAAGUUGCAUAUGCUACAAAUAUUUCUCUCAUCAGUUUCAGCACGAAGACCUCUUAGUAGGUUGAAGAGCCAGACCUGGUCUGAAAAAUAUGAGCAGACAUCAAACUUCAACGUAGCAAAGCUCACUCAGCAGGAAUCUGUUUGUGGAUCCGCAAGUGGGAAGUCCAAGAAGGAAUACAGUAGUUUCAGGUCAUCUAUGAUUUUCCUCCAACAGUGUCAGUAUUAAAACGCAAAAGUAGAGAAAAGAGACAUGCCUAGACUGAAAAACAUGAAGAAUACUGAAACUUCAACAGAGCAGGACUUCCUCUAUAGGUGUUUGUUUGCUGCACUGUCAGUGAGAAAUCGAAGAGGGGACAAAGGAGUUUUAGAUUCAUCAGGUGCUCUUCCAAUAGAGACAAUGUGUGAUUCCACACGUCGGUAGUGGCGAUACUACAAGUUUCUGGGCGCUGCCAAGAUUACCAAGCUGUUAGAAAGUUUUCUAACAAUCCUCAACCAACCAUAGCAACAUUGGAAGAUUGAAAUAAUGUUGUGAGGAUUUGCCGAAAAAUUGAACAAGCUAUCAAGAUGAGAAAGAUUGAAGGUUCUGCCAUGGAUUCUAGAACAAUGAUGAGAUGAAUCAGGAGAUGACUUUGACGGUGUGAGCCCUUAAUUAUGUGGUAUAGCCAGGUCUCACGGUAGCAUCAAUUGCUCAAAUAUCUUUGCCAAGAUGGGACAUUCCUCUGCCAUUUAAGUUUGUCGACCAGCAUCUGCCAGAUUCCAGAAUUUUGCUUGACUCCGACAAAUCCUAUGCAACCACCAUUUUCUGGGUGGUUUAAUCCAGACAAGAGAUGUGAUGUCAUGUGGGGUCCUCAACCAUUUCAAUUGAGCAAUUUCAAGAAUUGCAAGAAUUGAGUUGAAAGUUGGUGAGCAAGAGACAAGUGGAGUCGGUGAAGGAGGGUGUCAUUGGCUAUAUUGCCCCCCGAACAUCUUCAGAAUGACAUGUUGAUCGAAAGUGCUUGACAAAACGCAAAUAUUGCCAGAAAAGCUGAUUCAAGAAUGGUGAUGAACAGUCAAUCAUAUUGUUUUGGAAUUCUGCAUUUUGUUUUGGGAUCACCUCUCAUCCUUCAACGAAACAUGCCUUGCUUUUGUCUCUUUGUUGUUUUGAAAUCAACAGAUGUUUAGCAUUUUAUUCUGACAAAAUAUUUUGAUCAAACUCCAACAUGCGAUAAAGGUUAAUCAAUCCGGAAGAUUAAAAGUGUUUUGAUUACAGAAAUGACUCUAUGCUUGAAAAUGACAUGAGGUGACCAAACAAUUUUGAACUCAUACCUUUUGAAACUGAACCACACAUCAUAUAGCUAAGUUUUAGCAGUAUGCAUAAUGACAUGUAGUGGAUUCAAUAGUUAUGGACUCGUGAAUCAUGAUUCUUGCAAGUACAAAUCAUUACACUAGAUGAGGUCAAAAUUUAUCGGUUCUAACCGACCUUGCUUGAAAUGAGAAAAGGCCAUCUUUGAUAUCUCUUCACUUUCUAAAAAUUAUAUCCCUUGUAGUCCCAUUUUGAGCUGGUAGAAUAUUUUUUUUUUAAAAACCCUGACUAGGAUCACACCCCACACUGGGGGCAAAUGAGAAAUAUUUUGGAGACACGAACAAAAUCAAUGGAUCAAAGAAAAGCUUAGAACAAAAGUCCAAUGUUUGAGAAAGGGCUAGAAGAAGAAAAUCCAUAGAUUGAGGGCCAUCCAAGAAAAACUUUGAGGAAAGGAAAGAAAAUGCCUACCAAUUCUAAGAGAGGCAAGACAAUUUUCAAUUGAGAAAGGACAAUAAAUGCCAAAAGUCAACACUAGAAAAAUCGAUGCUUCAUAUCUUUCAGUGUGUCUUGGAUAGAGCCUCUAAUGUCUUCAAAAAUAAUUAGAUUAGUUUAUUCAUCAAAGAAAAGUUGGAUUUGCAUUAUGACCUAUGUUAAGAGAAUUCUGAUAUUUGAAGAUUAACAAGGUUAUAUGUCACUCUCGCUACAAUGACGACAAGAGAAAGAGAAUCGAUGAAUAGUUAAUGUUGGUCCUAGGUCGUUGAAACCCUCAAACACCUUUUGAGCCUAUGGAAUUCCUUUCUUUCAUAGCCAUGAACCAUAGCCUGCAUUACGUGCUUUUAAAAAGCCCUUUUUAAUCAAGCAAGCAAUCUGAACCAAUAAAUGGCGAUCUCAAAACUUGAAGAGUUUUUCUAUAAGAGUCGUGGCUUCAUUGAAUUAGGCUACUGGUUAUUAUGCAUGCUGAUAAAAUAAAUACUGAGAAAAGAAACAACCUUUCUUUAUCAAGCCUGAGCAUCUAGUCAUUUGAAAUUCACAAAAAUAUCACCUCACCAUAAACCAUCAAAAGAUAUACCCAAAAUCAGAGUUUAAAGUGGACACAAAGAACCAUGAAAAAGUCAUUUUAAAUCUUACAACGGGUCAUUUUUGUUUUUAAAAUACAAGACAAUCAAAGGACUGCAUUGAAUAGUGUGUUGGGUCUUUGACCAAAGAGCUCGAAUUUCAAAAAUAACUUUUCAAAAACUGAUAUCUCUCUGAUUUCAUUUCAACAAUUAUACUUGAAUAGACAUGAUCGUUGAAAUGUUGAGAUUUGAUUCCAGAACAAGAAAGAUUUUCAAACAAGAACAUCAAUUGAGUUUGCAAAAUUCUUGACAAAAAUGACAUCAACAUUUCUCGACACUCCUUGAAACGUUGACCACCUGGGGGCAAUACAGUGGACCUUAAGAAGGAAAGCAAACAGUAUCCAGAUCAGCUGGGGGCAAAGAAAGAAUCCGAUGAUGAGUCGUCAAAGUUCAUCAAAGUUAUGUUUAGCAUCUGACAAUGACAAAGAAAAACCUUCUUGAGUAUAAACCGAUGAAUGAACCUUCAGAUCAUACUGAGGCCAAUGUUGUUCAAAGACAAUCCAUGAUCUAGUGCACUUCAGCAGCAAUUGAUGAGCAACGCUGCACUAGAAAGAUAUUUUCAUAUCUUCAUCUUAGGUUACUUUGUAAAACAUGGAUAUGACUCCGGACAGAUAUUAUCGGGUGAGUGCAUUUGGAUGAACAUCGAACAUAUGCAUACCACCAAGAUUUAUAAUGGGACCAUCUAUUCUGAAGCUCAAAUGCGCACUUCACCGCAUGAAUAUGGGUGAUAACAUGAACAUCAUUGAUGAUGCCAAAGCAGGUAUUUUCACGAUCUGAUUUGACAAGCUAAGAGGAAUCCAUAGAGAAAUACAUCGCGCUUACAAUGAUGAGCUGUUUACUGCAAAGCAUGAGAUACAUGUCUGGAUGACUUGGCAGUUCCAUGAAGGCUGGUGACCAUACAUACUUGAAUGGUGUUUCAACCGAAGGCAAGUUCAUGACUGAUUAACAAACGUGAUGGUUGUUGGCAUGAUGCACACAAUCAAUCAGAGGAUAAUUCUCAGAAGAAGCCAGGAGAUAAAAUCCUUCAUGAUGAAUCAAGCAGUACCACACUUGGGGGCAGGGUCAAGCUUCAUGAACGAUGCAAGCAGUAAUUGUCGAAGACAGCCCGGGAUGGGCACUGCAUUUACAACUGAGUGGAUGGCUAACACAUGAAUGAGCCAAUACAUCGGAAGAACAAAGAAAGCUUUGGGAUACAAACAAGGGCACCCUAUGACGAUGGAGCAUCAAAGAGGGGGGGGGGGACCUAUAUUUCAAAUCAAGAAAAUCCUUAAUGAGGUCCAACAAGAUGGUGGAAAGAGAAAGAAGCAUUGUGGUGAUGAUAAUAAAGAAUCGGUUUUGACCAUGAAAUAAAAGGACGAUGGGAUGAACCCUACCAUUAGGAAAAUCCCAAAGAAAUGAAUAGAUCAACCUUGCAACCGGGAAGCCUCGAGUUUUCAACCCUUGCAGUCAGGAAACACCGAGUUUUCAAACCCCAUGAUCGGGAAUUAUCAAGAAGCACCAAUUUUUCCAGCCCGUUCUUCUGUCAUCCCUUCAGAACUUCGCCAGGUAAGUCCAAUUUUUCACACUUGUCAUAUCACAUUUUUUCCAUCUGGGUAGGUCGCCCAUCAUAAUAAGAUCGUUUUUCACAUUUUUUCCAUCCGGGUAGGUCACCCAUGACAAUGAGACCGCACUUCAUCAUAUUUUUUCCAUCUGGGUAGGUCACCCAUUACAAUGAGACCCCACUUCAUAUUUUUUCCACGUGGGUAGGUCACCCAUUACAAUGAGACCGCACUUCACAUUUUUUCCACGUGGGUAGGUCACCCAUACAAUGAGACCAUCAUUUUUCUUGGGUUCGUCACCCAUACAAUGAGACCAUCAUUUUUCUUGGGUUCGUCACCCAUACAAUGAGACCAUCAUUUUUUCUAGGGUUCGUCACCCAUACAAUGAGACCAUCAUUUUUCUAGGGUUCGUCACCCAUACAAUGAGACCAUCAUUUUUCUGGGGUUCGUCACCCAUACAAUGAGACCAUUUUUCUGGGGUUCGUCACCCAUACAAUGAGACCAUCAUUUUUUUCUUGGGUUUGUCACCCAUACAAUGAGACCAUUUUUCACACAUUCUUUUGUUUUGGUUAAAUGAGGUCGCCAGAUGGGAUCUCGGGUAGCUUUGGUUAAAGGGAAUCGCCAGAUGGGAUUUCAGGUUAACCGAGUUACACAAUAUUUUCGUUCCAGUUGAAUGAGGUCGCCAGAUGGGAUCUCAGGUAAACCCAAUGUGUGGGCAGGUCGCCCGUGAAAAUAGACCAGAGUGAGUAUGUGUGGGCAGGUCGCCCGUGAAAAUAGAUCAGUGUGAGUGUGUGGGCAGGUCGCCCAAGAUAAUGAAAUCAUUUUCCUUUUGUUUUCUUUACAAAGCUUACUAUGCAAAAUUUUGAGGAUUUUCGCUUCGUAAGCAUUGUAAAGAAGGGGCAUCUGUUGCUACCUAAUUUUUUGACCCAUGUUUUUGAGAUAUUUUCAAAAAAAAUCCAAAAAUAGAGAAAAAACAAUGAAAAGCCAAAAAAAAUAUGUUUUUUAAUAUAUUUUCAUCAUUUUAGCAUUUUUCAACGUCGUCUAAAAAAAAAAACAAAAAAAGAAUUAAAAUUUUUAAAAUAUUUUCAAACGCGUUCAACUUUUCACGCGUCAUUUUUAAAAUCAUUGAUUUUCCUCGUUUAGUCGACGUUGAUAUUGCUUGUUUUCAAAAAUAUACAAAAAAAUAAGAAAAAUCAAAAUUUACAAAAAGAAAGAAGUUGAGGGACCAAGUUGAAAAACUUGGCAAUAUUUUUGCCUAUAAAUACUGGUCUUUAACUCACACAAUGGGGGGGGGGGCAAUUUUGAAAUAUAAAAAAAAAUACAAAAAAACAACCUAACCCUAAACCUAUCUCUACCAAGCCUGCCGCCCCCCUCCCUUUGAAUUUUGUUUCCCGAGCCUUCUUCUCCUGAAGCCAAAACACAGCCGCCCUCACCUUUUUGCAUUUUUGAACACCGGCCAAACAGCCCCCCCCAAACCCCCCGGUUUGAUUUUUCUUCCUUUCUCCCUUACACAGCGCCGUCCUUCAGCCCC